ACGGGAGGCAGCAGUGGGGAAUAUUGGGCAAUGGGCGAAAGCCUGACCCAGCGACGCCGCGUGAGGGAAGAAGAUCUUCGGAUUGUAAACCUUAGUCAACAGGGACGAAGAAAGUGACGGUACCUGUGGAGGAAGCCACGGCUAACUACGUGCCAGCAGCCGCGGUAAUACGUAGGUGGCGAGCGUUAUCCGGAUUUACUGGGUGUAAAGGGCGCGUAGGCGGGGAUGCAAGUCAGAUGUGAAAUCUAUGGGCUUAACUCAUAAACUGCAUUUGAAACUGUAUCUCUUGAGUGCUGGAGAGGUAGAUGGAAUUCCUUGUGUAGCGGUGAAAUGCGUAGAUAUAAGGAAGAACACCAGUGGCGAAGGCGAUCUACUGGACAGUAACUGACGCUGAGGCGCGAAAGCGUGGGGAGCAAACAGGAUUAGAUACCCUGGUA
This 437-nucleotide ribosomal RNA is filed under the name uncultured Oscillospiraceae bacterium. RNAcentral's name for it is "bacterial SSU rRNA". It matches the Rfam family "Bacterial small subunit ribosomal RNA", at positions 341 to 792 of the family's 1533-position model. Lineage: Bacteria; Bacillati; Bacillota; Clostridia; Eubacteriales; Oscillospiraceae. The record is from RNAcentral.